AGUCAGGAUCAUAUACUAAAGUUGGUCUUGUAGAUUUAUUAAUUCAACUAAAUGAUCUGAUAUGAUUCAUAACAGUUUAGCUAAUAGAAGAUAUAAUAUUACGAAAAAUAAAAUAAAAAAUUCUCACUUCAGUAAUUGUAUUUUGUGUCUGUUAAUGAGCGACUGUCUUCAGGUAAAUGAUCUGGAGUGUGUUUGCAUAUUGAUCAGAUGCUUCAGUGCUCUGAGAGUGUUUAUAGUGCUGUGAGUUUAACACUUCAUCACUGACACACACAACAAUCUUCAUCAACAUGACCUUCAUCAUCAUCUUCAUCUGGACUCUCACAGCGUUUGCUCAAGAGUGUAGAGGACAGAUCACCGUCACUCAGAGUCCCUCAACGACAGCAGCUCGACCAGAAGAAACAGUCAAAAUCAACUGUAAAACCAGCACAGAUGUGGCUGAAUAUAGUGCGCCACGUUACUAUUUCAGCUGGUACUUACAGAAACCUGGAGAAGCUCCUAAACUCCUGAUUUAUUUAGCAAACACUCUCCAGUCAGGAACUCCAUCUAGAUUCAGUGCCAGUGCGUCAUCUGCAAGAGAUUUCACUCUGACCAUCAGUGGAGUCCAGACUGAAGAUGCUGGACAUUAUUACUGUCAGAGUUACCACAGUGGUCCAGUGUUCACACAGUGA
Onychostoma macrolepis is the source of this 668-nucleotide non-coding RNA. The record is from the annotation of a RefSeq genome assembly. Lineage: Eukaryota; Metazoa; Chordata; Actinopteri; Cypriniformes; Cyprinidae.